UACGUAGGGUGCGAGCGUUGUCCGGAAUUAUUGGGCGUAAAGGGCUCGUAGGCGGUCUGUUGCGUCGGGGGGGAAAACUCAGGGCUUAACCCUGAGCCUGCUUCCGAUACGGGCAGACUAGAGGUAUGCAGGGGAGAACGGAAUUCCUGGUGUAGCGGUGAAAUGCGCAGAUAUCAGGAGGAACACCGGUGGCGAAGGCGGUUCUCUGGGCAUUACCUGACGCUGAGGAGCGAAAGUGUGGGGAGCGAACAGG
This 253-nucleotide ribosomal RNA is filed under the name uncultured bacterium. RNAcentral's name for it is "partial 16S ribosomal RNA". It matches the Rfam family "Bacterial small subunit ribosomal RNA", at positions 524 to 776 of the family's 1533-position model. The record is from RNAcentral.